CCCUUGCAUAGGUUGCGUUUGGACAGAGAGAGACGAGAGGCCAGCAGCUGCAAACAGCAGAGACAGUAAUGACAUGGUGGCUUCACAAAACUGUAAGUCCAGUUGUAGGGGAGCUUGUAUUAGAUUAAAAAUGCUGCAGCCCUUAGACACAAGGUGCUGAACUACUAUACGACCACAUUGUUUGACUGAAGCUGGGGGUGUGGUGAGAAUAUUUAUAUAAACAUAUGAAGGAGUAAUUUUUGUCUGCCAGGAUUGCAUAAGAUCAAGUAUCAGAUAACCAUAUUUCUGAAUGGAGCUUAUUUGCCAGCCCAAAGGCUCCUUUGCCAGUUCUUUCAUGGUACCUUUGUGCUCUUACUGGUGCUUUGCCAUGGAACUCAAAUGUUUCCGAAGAAAUAAAUAUGCAGGUUUGGGUGCAUAUUUACUCUUAUGCUUCUGGUGUGUUUGUUGUAAACUGUCUCAACUCCAUCAACAGCAACUUUGAAGAAUUUGGUGAUGGCGUAGCAUUACUGAUCAGACAGAGCCUGGACCGGAGCCACAGUGGAAAUCGUGUACUUGGCAAGCAGACCCCUUCAGCAUUGUUCCACAUGAUCCCAAGUGAACCAAGCAAGAGACUACCCGUUGUUCAAGAAUUCUUGAAAACAGCGAUGGCAAUGCAGUGUUUUAAAUGUUUUAAUUCUAGGACCACUUCACAGAAAAUAUCUGAGCAGAAGACCCAAACAUCUGAAGAGUGUGCCUGGAAUAUGACUCUUCAGCAGACACCAAAUGUGCUCCAGAAAAGAAGCACUGAAAGUACCACUUUAGUAUGAACAAACCUGCUCUACUUACUUGAACUUUUUGGCCUAUAUGUGAAGGAAUGCAAGAAUCAGCAGUGACUGUAAAUGAUUUCAGUGGCCAAGAAAGUUUUGCUGCCCAUGUCUUUGCUCCCUUCCUUCCUGAUCCAUGUGUUCUUGGUGCAGGCACCCACUCUUCCUUGUUCAGAUUAUAACAGGCUUCGUUGUGAAUUGACAUGACCCACUGCUGACUGAAAGUGGUUCCCAAAAAGACAUCAUUAGCGUGGAGCUGGCAUAGUGCAAGCACCAGGAGUGAGUGGUCAGUGCUGGGGCAGAAAGGAAGGGUGGGAAGGGCAGGUAGCAGUGUAUGCAUCAACUGUGGAAGAGUUUUGAGUCGACUUCCUAAAUCUGUGGAGCCCCUUGAAGAUGAACAGUCUGUCUUGCAACCAAGGACAGUGAAAAUGCUAACUAGUAAGGUUCCAUAAACUCUGGUUAACAAUAUUGCUAAAAUUACUAAUGAAGGCAAAAACUGGAAGGUAAUGCUCUUCAAGCCUGUCUUUGCUGCAGGUGUACCACUCAUAAUGGAGUAAUAUGCAGCUGAAACUUAAUUGGAACACUAAGGAAAGCUUGAGCUAUUUAUGGUAUUUAAUAAUUUAAUAGUACAAAGUGCACUGAUUGUAGUAGUAUUCAUUUUUCUAUUUAAUUUAAUUAUUACUUCUAUUUCUUAAUUAAUAAUGCAAGAGUGUAUUUUUGUAUAGCACUUUUUUCUGAGCAGUUCCCAUUUUGCACCAGUAUUUAAUCAAGAUCUUCCUGCUGUUUGCAAAAAAUUAGUACAUUCCAGUAUACACACAUUCUGAAAAAUUGCUUGAGUCUGUAAUAUAUGAGAUCACUGCAAGGCUCAUAAAGAGGAUCUUAUCACUAAAUGUUUAUUCCAGGAUGUGUAAGAGCCCUCUAAUUUUUACAUUCUUAUGUUUACAACUCUCAGGUAAAAACAGGGAGUUUUAUUUCUCCCACUACAGCUGGCAUUUCAAAGCAUGGAGAUGUUAAAGUCUGUCCCAAAAAGUUAUUUAAGAUCAUGGAUCCCACUGGAUGACUUGGCUAGAGUGCAAAGAAAAGCUUUUGUGGAACAAGCACUGAACUUACAUCUGCCAAACCCAAGAGGAUCUUCCUUACUGCUGGACUUUACUGUCUCACUAAGGUUGCAAUAAAGGGUUCUUUAAAGCUGGGUUUAGAGUACUU
This 2009-nucleotide long non-coding RNA is filed under the name Junco hyemalis (dark-eyed junco). Its description in RNAcentral is "lncRNA (ENSJHYG00000004389.1)". Lineage: Eukaryota; Metazoa; Chordata; Aves; Passeriformes; Passerellidae. The record is from RNAcentral.